RNAcentral lists this long non-coding RNA (604 nucleotides) under Linum usitatissimum (flax). RNAcentral describes it as "long non-coding RNA (LUSI_LNC007722)". The record is from RNAcentral. Lineage: Eukaryota; Viridiplantae; Streptophyta; Magnoliopsida; Malpighiales; Linaceae.
AAGUUUGCCGACAACGGCAGUUCGGGAAAUACGGGGAGGCUUGACCAAUGAGCCGGGCUCGGUUUACUGACGGGCUUUUUACAGAUUUGUAUUCAGUCAGGCCCAAAUCAGUUGUGAUUAAACUGGAGAAUAAAAUAAGUUUAGGGGUCAAAAGUGAAAUUACCCGAACAUUCAAAUUAGAAAUUCAGAAAACUCAAGAAGACCUUUUCUCUUCUGAAUGACCUACGAGUCCGAAAAAGUAGAAUCCGACAAAAUGAAUUCUUACGCCGCCGCCGCAGUCGCCGCCACUCACACCGUCGCCUUCUAUCUCUCUUCCCACCGCUUCUAGGGUUUAGGGUUUUUGCUCGACCUCUCCCGACCAUUGAAACCAAAAAACACAGAAGGGAAAGACCUCGACCAAGGCCUAGACAUUCGUUACAAUAUGAGGGACCGGCGAUACGACGGUCGGAGGACUCCGUCUCCUCAUCCAUCGCCGCCGACAAGGGGAAGGGGCCGCGACUACAGAGAGGACAACUGGCGGCUCCCUACUUCCUCCUAUCGGGCUCCACCACCGGGCUCACAGUGGGCAGAGCGGGACCCGCUGCCGCCGCCGCCGACGGCGGGG